GACGAACGCUGGCGGCGUGCUUAACACAUGCAAGUCGAACGGAAAGGCCCUGCUUUUGUGGGGUGCUCGAGUGGCGAACGGGUGAGUAACACGUGAGUAACCUGCCCUUGACUUUGGGAUAACUUCAGGAAACUGGGGCUAAUACCGGAUAGGAGCUCCUGCUGCAUGGUGGGGGUUGGAAAGUUUCGGCGGUUGGGGAUGGACUCGCGGCUUAUCCGCUUGUUGGUGGGGUAGUGGCUUACCAAGGCUUUGACGGGUAGCCGGCCUGGGCGGGUGACCGGCCACAUUGGGACUGAGGUACGGCCCAGACUCCUACGGGAGGCAGAAGUGGGGAAUAUUGCACAAUGGGCGGAAGCCUGAUGCAGCAACGCCGCGUGCGGGAUGACGGCCUUCGGGUUGUAAACCGCUUUCGCCUGUGACGAAGCGUGAGUGACGGUAAUGGGUAAAGAAGCACCGGCUAACUACGUG
RNAcentral lists this ribosomal RNA (468 nucleotides) under uncultured bacterium. Its description in RNAcentral is "partial 16S ribosomal RNA". It matches the Rfam family "Bacterial small subunit ribosomal RNA", at positions 28 to 507 of the family's 1533-position model. The record is from RNAcentral.